This is a non-coding RNA of Odocoileus virginianus texanus, 1922 nucleotides long. The record is from RefSeq and is a predicted model, not a curated record. NCBI's taxonomy places the organism in Eukaryota, Metazoa, Chordata, Mammalia, Artiodactyla, Cervidae.
GAUUCUGAAGUGUGAGGUGGACAGUCUCUGCCUACAGCAAAAUGGGGGGUGGGGGAGCUGGCGCCUGGAUGGAGAAAGCUGGACUUCUCCAUCUCAAGAGUGCGUGGUGGCGGGAAGGCAGGGGUGGGGAUGGAGGAGGAGCGUGUAGGGAGGGGGGCCACAGGAAGAGCUGGAAGGUCUUCUUUUGCUCUCCUCCCGAGCUAAGCAGGUAGAGGAGGCUGAGGUGACGCCAACAGCACUCGGCCUGAAACUCGCCUUCUCUCUCUGUGAAUUGUCCUCACGUUCCUUUAGACUGACGUAGAAAUUGCUCAGCGCCUGUGAUCAGCCCCUGGUGACAGAGUCUCGCCCCUGGUGACAGAAUCUCACCCCUGGAGAGUAGGGGGAAGGCUGCAGCAGACCCUGUGGUGGCCUCCCCAUCAGCGGGUCCCUCCUCCCUGCCCAGCAGUGGACCAGGGGGGCCUGGCUGCCAGGCCCUGCACACCCACUGAUGGUGAUGGGACUGCCCGUCCCCUCAGGCUUUACCAGUGAAGGGCUCUCUGGCCAACCCCUGCCUCUUAGCAUCUCCACCCCUUUGCCCAAGGGUUUCCUCCAGGAGCCCAAGCAGGCAGCAAGUGCCAGAAAACUGAUGCUUCUUUGGGAAGAGCCUUCAACCAGUGAUGGUGGGUUUGGUGUAUAAAUACCUCAGCUCCCUCAGAGGCAGGAUUGAGCACCAGCGACACGCAGUGGUAACCGAUUUGAUAACAAACCCUUUAUUGGUCACAUCCCCCCCACCCCAACCCCGAGUCUCACUCCUCUUCUCCUGAUGAUUGCUGGAAUCCCCUCCUGAACAAACCUACUUGCACGCGAAGCCUUGUCUAGGGCUUGUUUCUGGAAAAGUCAACCUUAGACCACAUGCAACCCAAUCUGGACAAAGAUCUCAGCCUCUCCUGUCCUGCAGCAGGAAAUCACUAUUUGGACUGCAGAGGUGCCUCUUCCUGCCUCAGCCCCCGUGGAGGGGAGCGGGCCAGGGAGGGGGCCUUCCUGCCCACCUGGACCAGACCUUGAGUUGGUCAGGAGCACCCCCAACCCUGGUUCUCCCAGCCACCCUCAAGUUCCUUGAACCCUAGCCCUGAGAAAUGAAUGGAUGGGAUUCAGCGGAGCUGGGCACCUGGAUCAUGGCAGCUCAUCCCUGGGGAAGCUCCAGGCCCCUCUUCAAUGUGCUGAUAAGGAAGAGCCGCCAAGGCAAAAUGGUCAAGUGAUAAAAACUGCAAUGUGCGGGGAGAUGCUGACAUUUUUAUAAAUAAAAAGGAAAACGAUCCAGAAUCCGUCCGGGCCUCUCCACCCUUCGUUCCUGGAAGCAGCGCCCACCAGUUUCCCAGGAGGUCUCCAUCUUUCAAGGCCUUCUUCAGCCACGUCUUCUCAGGACAAUCCAAGGCCAACCACGAGAUGUCCUCUCACUCACCCUGAACCCGUCCUGGAUUCCCCCAGGUCCAGGACCCGGUGGAGGGGGGCUUGGUCCAGACAGCCCUCCCCAGGCUCAGCCACAGUGCUCAGGUCUUCCCCGGUCCAACCCCCAACCCCUACCCCACACCACAGGGCCUCGAGGCUCCCACCAGUCCUGACAGCUUUCUUUGAUCUCAGGCCCCCUGGCAAUCAGGGGGGUCAACUGCAGCUGGGCCGUGUGAAACCCACCCAGGCCACAAAUGCGUCCCACUGCCAUGCUGGUUACCCCCUCCCCAGGCACGGCUCAGCCACUGACAUAGGCGUCACCCUAUGCCUUGGAGCCAUCAUGGCUUCGAGAAACUGGAGUCAGCAGGAGAUUAAUUAAUCAAAACCUGAACACAUCUGCUGUUAAUUAAUUCUAUGCCAAGGGUUAACUCUUCCCUGUCUGGGCUUCUCCUUCCCUUUGGCCGGAAGAGGGAAAUAAAGGUGGGGAGUGGGUA